GUUCCUCUUUUUCCAUUUUGGGACGUCCCCCAAAUAAGUUCAUCUUUCUUUCUUUCUAUUUUUGGACAACUACCCCACCACUAAUAAUACUUUAUUUAUUCUUAAUUUUCACUUUUUCACCACUCCCAAUACUAAUUAUAACACUUUUUCACCUUUUCAUCACUCCCAAUACUAAUUAUAACAUAUUUUUUUCCACUAUCAAUACACUUUACCAUUUUCCUUAAAACCCGUGCCGUCCC
RNAcentral lists this long non-coding RNA (239 nucleotides) under Salvia miltiorrhiza (redroot sage). Its description in RNAcentral is "long non-coding RNA (SMIL_LNC008775)". The record is from RNAcentral. Lineage: Eukaryota; Viridiplantae; Streptophyta; Magnoliopsida; Lamiales; Lamiaceae.